GUUUUUUCAAAUACUGGGAUUAGACCCCACUAUGCCCAGCCGUAAACAAUUAACUCACACCAACCAGCGCCAGGGAAUUACGAGCUAUGCUUAAAACCCAAAGGACUUGACGGUUUCCCACCCCCCUAGAGGAGCCUGUUCUUUAAUCGAUGACCCCCGCUAUACCUAACCACCCCUCGCUACCAGUCUGUAUACCUCCGUCGAAAGCUUACCAUAUGAACGUUUUCAGUAAGCCCAAUGACCCCCGUCAAUACGUCAGGUCAAGGUGCAGCUUAAGGGAUGGAAAACAAUGGGCUACAAUUUCUAACCUAGAACAAACGAAAGACUAUGUGAAAUCACAGUCAUGAAGGCGGAUUUAGUAGUAAAAAGAAAAUAGAGUGUCUUUAACAUGCUCUGAC
RNAcentral lists this ribosomal RNA (398 nucleotides) under Pelophylax nigromaculatus (dark-spotted frog). RNAcentral's name for it is "partial 12S ribosomal RNA". It matches the Rfam family "Bacterial small subunit ribosomal RNA", at positions 755 to 1375 of the family's 1533-position model. Lineage: Eukaryota; Metazoa; Chordata; Amphibia; Anura; Ranidae. The record is from RNAcentral.